This 527-nucleotide transfer RNA is filed under the name Xanthomonas campestris pv. campestris. RNAcentral describes it as "partial contains 16S ribosomal RNA, 16S-23S ribosomal RNA intergenic spacer, and 23S ribosomal RNA". The stretch from base 197 to 270 matches the Rfam family "tRNA". Lineage: Bacteria; Pseudomonadati; Pseudomonadota; Gammaproteobacteria; Lysobacterales; Lysobacteraceae. The record is from RNAcentral.
CUCCUUUGAGCAUGACGUUAUUCGUUCCUGUCGGGCGUCCUCACAAAUUACCUGCAUUCAGAGAUUCAUACCGGCACAGGUCGGUAUGCGAAGUCCCUUUUGGGGCCUUAGCUCAGCUGGGAGAGCACCUGCUUUGCAAGCAGGGGGUCGUCGGUUCGAUCCCGACAGGCUCCACCAUAUUGAGUGAAAAGACUUCGGGUCUGUAGCUCAGGUGGUUAGAGCGCACCCCUGAUAAGGGUGAGGUCGGUAGUUCGAGUCUACCCAGACCCACCACUCUGAAUGUAGUGCACACUUAAGAAUUUAUAUGGAUCAGCGUUGAGGCUGAGACAUGUUCUUUUAUAACUUGUGACGUAGCGAGCGUUUGAGAUAUCUAUCUAAACGUGUCGUUGAGGCUAAGGCGGGGACUUCGAGUCCCUAAAUAAUUGAGUCGUAUGUUCGCGUUGGUGGCUUUGUACCCCACACAACACGGCAUGUAGCUCCGAGGCAACUUGGGGUUAUAUGGUCAAGCGAAUAAGCGCACACGGUGG